RNAcentral lists this ribosomal RNA (445 nucleotides) under uncultured bacterium. RNAcentral describes it as "partial 16S ribosomal RNA". It matches the Rfam family "Bacterial small subunit ribosomal RNA", at positions 354 to 796 of the family's 1533-position model. The record is from RNAcentral.
GUGGGGAAUCUUGCGCAAUGGUCGGAAGACUGACCCAGCCAUGCCGCGUGCAGGAAGACGGCCCUCUGGGUUGUAAACUUCUUUUAUCUGGGACGAAAAAAGGGUAUUCUUACUCAAUUGACGGUACCAGAGGAAUAAGCACCGGCUAACUCCGUGCCAGCAGCCGCGGUAAUACGGAGGGUGCAAGCGUUAUCCGGAGUCACUGGGUUUAAAGGGUGCGUAGGUGGGUAUUUAAGUCAGUGGUGAAAUCUCCGAGCUUAACUCGGAAACUGCCAUUGAUACUAUUUACCUUGAAUGCCCUGGAGGUAAGCGGAAUAUGUCAUGUAGCGGUGAAAUGCUUAGAUAUGACAUAGAACACCAAUUGCGAAGGCAGCUUACUACGGGGUGAUUGACACUGAGGCACGAAAGCGUGGGGAGCAAACAGGAUUAGAAACCCUUGUAGUCC